UAUCUUCAACCUUCUUGGUUUCUUGAUCAAGAAGGCUUGGAAUUUGGAGGCUUUUGCUGGCUUUUCCUCAAAGCCAGCUCCUCUUAAAUGAAUUAGUAGGGUCUACUUUGCUGAUCCUUGACGUGAUAAGAUAACUUUCUACGUCUUGGGCUUUUGCAAACCUGCUUCUAACUGUCUCGUCAGAGACUGUGAACUAUCAUAUAUAUAUAAAC
RNAcentral lists this unclassified non-coding RNA (212 nucleotides) under uncultured Russula. RNAcentral's name for it is "sequence contains ITS2". Lineage: Eukaryota; Fungi; Basidiomycota; Agaricomycetes; Russulales; Russulaceae. The record is from RNAcentral.